This 548-nucleotide long non-coding RNA is filed under the name Monodelphis domestica (gray short-tailed opossum). RNAcentral's name for it is "lncRNA (ENSMODG00000031388.2)". Lineage: Eukaryota; Metazoa; Chordata; Mammalia; Didelphimorphia; Didelphidae. The record is from RNAcentral.
GCAUAACAAUCUCAUGCAGAAGAAUAUAAAUCCAGGUACUGCAAGGUAGCCUUGACUCUUGAUUCUUUCAGAUAUCAUUGGUUCCGGAGGCUGCUCAGAGCAGGCACCAGAGAGAAUGAAGACUGUCCUACUAUGUGCUCUCUUAGGGAUCUUUACUAUGUUAAUGGCUGAAGAAAAAAAAAAGAGUUUUGAUUUAUCUGAGUGAUCGCAAGUGUGUUAAGAAUGAGUUUUUGUGUGAAUUAUCAGAGAAUCCAAAACAGUUUAUAGUUUCUGAGACAAGAGAAUUUCUUGUGCUGGACACAGAUUAUGACACUUACGCCAUAAUGAAGCAUUCCUAUAAAGAAAAUGGGCAGAAGCGUUUUGAUUUGCAGUUUUUAUGUCGAAGCCUGUACAGAAUUAUUGAAGGUUAUAAGAUAUUAAAGAAAACCAGCGAACAAUUUGGGAUCUCCAAGAAGAAUGCAGUAAUUUUUAUUUAUGAUGGUAAAACUACCUUUACCUUUCCUGGGGGAAGAAUAAUCACUUACUGGGAAACCCUGGAGUCUUUUUAG